GCAAAGGAGGUAAGCAGUGGUGAGAAAGAGGAGGUGGCCUGCGUCACUCAAAGGCCCAUGUUCUCCCUGCUGCUGGCCAACCGGACUGCGUGGUAUCGCUAAAGCUCCAAGUUUGCAGCAUGCAACUGGAAGGAGAGCAAAGUGUUCAUAUCGAACAAGCUCUGGAAUGGCUAAGGAAAGAGCUGGAAGAAGUAACCUGGAAAAAUAAAAUUUCCAGGCUCUGAUGCUGCCGCUCUUCCCUUCCUGACAACACAGCUUGGGAAUGACUGAGACAACACACACCCUCCAGUGAAAGGAAGUCUGUUGAGCUAGUUUUCCAACAGCUACACACUGAUAUUUCUCUUCCUGCAUAAAGACUGUGC
RNAcentral lists this long non-coding RNA (362 nucleotides) under Pogona vitticeps (central bearded dragon). Its description in RNAcentral is "lncRNA (ENSPVIG00000011388.1)". Lineage: Eukaryota; Metazoa; Chordata; Lepidosauria; Squamata; Agamidae. The record is from RNAcentral.